This 233-nucleotide long non-coding RNA is filed under the name Lathyrus oleraceus (garden pea). RNAcentral's name for it is "Pisum sativum (pea) long non-coding RNA (PSAT_LNC030025)". Lineage: Eukaryota; Viridiplantae; Streptophyta; Magnoliopsida; Fabales; Fabaceae. The record is from RNAcentral.
UGAACGGGGCAUCUUUGCAUUCCUCCUAGCUACACGAAUAGGAAAAGUUUCAGUUGUUAUCGAAGCAGGUAAUCUCUCCUGCCCUGCUUGUUGAGACUCGUCUCCAUCCUAUCUGCUCUUGUGCUAAUGGUGAAAAUAUGAUUAUAAUUGGAUAAAAAUCAAGAAUAAUAGGAUGCUUAAGCCAAUAAGAUAGAUAAAGCAUACCCCUACUACUCGUAAAAAAACUAUGUCAC